This 252-nucleotide ribosomal RNA is filed under the name uncultured bacterium. RNAcentral's name for it is "partial 16S ribosomal RNA". It matches the Rfam family "Bacterial small subunit ribosomal RNA", at positions 524 to 776 of the family's 1533-position model. The record is from RNAcentral.
UACGGGGGGGUCAAGCGUUGUUCGGAAUUACUGGGCGUAAAGGGCUCGUAGGCGGCCAACUAAGUCAGACGUGAAAUCCCUCGGCUUAACCGGGAACUGCAUCUGAUACUGGAUGGCUUGAGUUCGGGAGAGGGAUGCGGAAUUCCAGGUGUAGCGGUGAAAUGCGUAGAUAUCUGGAGGAACACCGGUGGCGAAGGCGGCAUCCUGGACCGACACUGACGCUGAGGAGCGAAAGCCAGGGGAGCAAACGGG